GCCGCGGCGGCACAGACGUGGCCGUGGCGCUGCUGCUGCGUUCAAGUGACGCAGUGUCCCGUGCGGAGCAGAGAGGGGGCGAAGUUUCACUCUGCACUGCAGCCCGAGCUGCUGCCGGACUCCAACACAACAAUGGCGACUCCCAGUCCCGACAGCAACUCCAGCGGCCGCGUGGUGGGAUCCACGUCGCACCAGCUCCACCAGCACACGCAGAGCAGCAGCAUGCAAGAUUUGGCCCACAUCCCACGUCCGGCCCACAUACCUCAUGGAAUGAUGGCACUUGGGUGGUCUGCUCCUGUUUGCCAGAUCUCAGCCACAAAACCCAACACCUGCUGGAGAUGUCAGAAUGAAACAGGUAUUCACUCUCUACUCUACUAGGUCUUAGUCUUAGUCUGCUGCUGGAGGUCAUUUGUUUACAACUGUGUUUGACACAUGUUGGCACAGCCCCCCCCCCUCCUCCAGAUGUUCCCUAAACACCCUCUUCUGUUGAUCUGUAUUUCCUCCUUGUUUCUUUUCCUUUUCAAACAACCCCUGCACUUUUUUUUAAACCCUCUUACUCCAUGCAUGUCUUCCAUGUAGUCUCCAUGUUAGAAUGAGCGGAUGUAGACACAAGCUGACAGAUGCCAUGUGAUGAGGCGCUGCAUCCGAGCGGCCACGUUUCCAGGAGCGUCGUCCUCGGCUGCACAGACAUCAGAAUGUGGCUGUUUCAGUGUGCCGCUCAUACACAGACUGUCACUAGUGUGCUUAUCCACACACUUCUCUCCUGAUGGUGUGCCACUCUUGUUAUGCUGCCAACUGUACACUCAUAGUGAUUUUCCAUCUCUGGUACACAAUAUGUAAAAAAAAUGGGAGUUUAAUCUUGUUCCACUGGCUCAUAACAUUCCCAACUGGCCAAUGACAGUUCUUACUAAAGCCUGACUGAUGUUGAUUUUUCGGGGGCCGAUGCUGAUAUUAGGGAGUGAAAAGGCAACUUGAGCGAUUCGCCGCUCCGUUGCGUUCACAACAACACAGAAAUCUCCAGGGCAUUCAGGUGAGGGGCGGCGCAGCAGGUAGAGGCAGGACAUAUAAGUUCUGCUGUGUUUUUGUUUACAGCACAUUGACACCGGUAACGGUCCUUAUCACCAGAAGUUCUCUUGAUAUCUCCGUCAGUGUCUUCUACAUGUGUGGCACCGCUUUUUCAUCCUCAGAUUAUUGUAUUGUUUUUGCAUCUUGCUCGCGAUAGAAAUAUCAUCAACACGCCCACACGCUCGCGGUGAAUCCUCGCAGCGGACGUGCUGCUGUGUUUUUACCAGGGGAUUGGCUGGAGAAACUCUGCAGGAAGUCUGGAGGCUCUCAGUCCGACAUUUGCUUUCACACAUACAGCCCCUCUGUCCGGAGGAUCUCUGGAGAUCGGUGCAUGUCUGAAAGCAGCUUAUGAUUUUUUCCCCAUAGUCACAGAGGUAAAUGUUGGACCCAUUUUAGUUUACAAGCCACAUAUCUCACAGAUAUCCUGAAACUAAAAUGGCCAUUUUGUGGUUUGUCUCAGAAAAACACAGACAACUUUUCUCUCGGUUUGUUCUGGUCUAGUUUCACUACAGGGCGGCCACUUUCCAAGGAAACGACUUGUAUACGAAAGCACGAGUUAGAAGUUAAAACUGAAACAAAAUUUGAAGUAUCAGUUGUAACAGGGAUAUAAAUAAUUGAACAGGUGCCUGUUAAUCAUCAAAACAUCUGCAUUGUAAAGUACGCCGCUAGGUGCUUGCAAAAGAUGUACAUGCAGUGUGCAAGUGACAUUAGAAGCUACUGUUUAAAGCCGAUUGUCAAAUUAUAUUAAUCAGCAAAGGAAACAUGGGUACCAAAUAUUCACCAACUUUCCAAGUGUUUCUGAUUUGAGUUUGCAUUCACGUAGGUUUUUAACAGACGUUGGUGGCCCUGAUCACGGAAAUCCUCUGUGGACCAGAUCGUCUCACUUCGGUUCGGCCUUCGUGGUCUACGCUGCCAAUGGAGGAAGCGGGUAGACCGCAUCCUCCCAAGGAUGCAGCCCCUGAACUGGGAUACAGCUGUUGUCUGCCAGUGGAACGUGGCUCUUUAAAGAGUAGAGCGGCAACAUAACCUCUCAGGAAAAUGGCUUAAAUCACUAAAACAAGACUGGCACACCACAAGGGAUUUCUUCUUGAUCACAGUAUCUCAUUCUUGAUCACACUCGUUUUUCUUUCCUUUGCUGUACUGAAGUGACAACUGCAGGGGGAGGGAGGGAUGGGGGGUAACAGUA
This is a non-coding RNA of Paralichthys olivaceus (Japanese flounder), 2251 nucleotides long. The record is from RefSeq and is a predicted model, not a curated record. NCBI's taxonomy places the organism in Eukaryota, Metazoa, Chordata, Actinopteri, Pleuronectiformes, Paralichthyidae.